Molecule: long non-coding RNA, 1273 nt
Organism: Oncorhynchus tshawytscha (Chinook salmon)
Lineage: Eukaryota; Metazoa; Chordata; Actinopteri; Salmoniformes; Salmonidae
Source: Ensembl
GAAGAAGAAAUGAAUUGACACUGACUAAAGAGAAGAAGAAAUGAAUUGACACUGACUAAAGAGAAGAAGAAAUGAAUUGACACUGACUAAAGAGAAGAAGAAAUGAAUUGACACUGACUAAAGAGAAGAAGAAAUGAAUUGACACUGACGAAAGAGAAGAAGAAAUGAAUUGACACUGACGAAAGAGAAGAAAUGAAUUGACACUGACUAAAGAGAAGAAGAAAUGAAUUGACACUGACUAAAGAGAAGAAGAAAUGAAUUGACACUGACUAAAGAGAAGAAGAAAUGAAUUGGGACUGGAAUUUAUUGAAAUACUAAUUAAAGGUUAAACAUAUUAAAUGUUAAAGGUUGAAAACGUUGGGAGAUAUUAAAGGUGUUAAAAUAAUGCAGGUGAGGAGAGUUAUAAUGUAGUUUUCUUUAAGUUGUGAAUCAUAUAGACUGUGUUUCAUUCUGCUUAGAGGACAAGGCCUUAGGAGGUUGAUAACGAGACGUUAUAAUGGUCAAAUGUUAUAAUGUUUAAAAUAUUGAAUUAUUAAGAUAUAACUGGAGUAAUAAAUUAGGUUGUAUUAAGAUUAGAAUUGAGUAAAGAUGGUUUGAAAAAUGUAUGUUUUAAGAAGUUGAUGUUAAUGAAGUAUAUUAAAAGGUGCUAGCUUGAUCUGGAAAUCCCUUGAGGUGACCUCAUUGACAGACAUGUUCUAGAACAUUCUAGGUGGAACCCUUAAGGUUACCUCAUUGAUAGAAGUGUUCUAGAACAUUCUAGGUGGAAUCCUUAAGGUUACCUCAUUGAUAGAAGUGUUCUAGAACAUUCUAGGUGGAAUCCUUAAGGUUACCUCAUUGGUAGAAGUGUUCUAGUAGCUGUUAGUUUUUUAGACACCAACUGAGGGACUGAGCAUCCCGAGGGGGGAGACAAAAAUCUGUUUAUAAUUUGUAGAAGGUAAGAACAUGUUUUUCUUGUUGUUAAAUACAGCUUCUCAUGAAAUUGUUAUAGUUUUUAGGUAAAGGGUUUAGGUAAAGGGAUUAGGUAAAGGGUUUAGGUAAAGGGUUUAGGUAAAGGGUUUAGGUAAAGGGAUUAGGUAAAGGGUUUAGGUAAAGGGUUUAGGUAAAGGGUUUAGGUAAAGGGUUUAGGUAAAGGGUUUAGGUAAAGACGCUGAAGGCAUCUCUCAAUUUAAUCCAAGGUACAUUUUUGCGUAUCAUCAAUUGGUGAUAUUGAUUGAUCCGUUUUUUAUGCCUUUUUUUCUGUCAUUUUGAAUAAACUUGCUUUAUUGUUCUGAAA